GUUUUGUACUGUUACUAUCCGGAAAAUUUUACAUUAAGGAUUGGUUUGAUGGAAAACUUUUAAAGUUUAAUCUCACUAUGGAGUUAAACGUUUACAAAAAUUCCAUGCAUCUUCAAACUUAUCUUCUGUGUCAUUAUCAUUAUAUUGGGUUUGCAACUUUGAUUGUGAUGAGGUAUCUCAAUCAAGUGCAGGUGUAGGACUGGAGUGAAAAUAACUAAUAAAACUGCAUAGUCAUUAGUUUGAAAAGAUUGUGCAAAAAUGCUCACUGAUGG
Molecule: unclassified non-coding RNA, 272 nt
Filed under: Hevea brasiliensis (rubber tree)
Lineage: Eukaryota; Viridiplantae; Streptophyta; Magnoliopsida; Malpighiales; Euphorbiaceae
Source: RNAcentral